CAGCGCCCCCAUUUUUCCUGCAGCACCCUGAUCUGCACUCCCUGAGGGGCUCCCACUGUCCGCGGUGUGAGGAUGUCCCUGGAAAUUGGUCUUCUGUGACUUUCUUGAUGGGGGCAGAUGAGAUCUUUGUACUGCAUUAAGUGGAUAGCGCUCAGGUCCUUUGGGCUUGGCGCUUUGGCAAUCUCCAGGCAGCUCACUUUGGCCUCUGUUCCUGGAUCCCCUUUGCUCUUUUCUGCGCCUGCAUUCAUAGUCCACUGUGUGCAGAGGCAUGGGAGUUGUCAUGUUGGGAACAUGCUAGACCUCAGUAUCCUUGAGGGAUGCUGCCUUGGGUCUGGAAACUGUUAGAGGAAACCCCAAGAGGUGCAGGCACUGAGCCUCUCAGGACAAUGACCUGGGGUCCCAGCUCCCCUGGAGGGGCCUCCUCAUGGUAAGUGAAUGCCAAGAGGUUAAGUUGGCCUGUGUUUCCGAGGUGGAAAUUCCAGGUCGCUGGCUUCAUUUGUCUUCUCUUUUAGAUUGUUUGGGGGUUGAUCACAGACCAAGAGUGACGAGUGAUGUCACCCUGUGACUCAUGGCUGGACCUUCUUGCCCCUAUUGUCUCAGCACAACAUUAUUCGACUUUUCCCUCAGCGUGGGUGGGCAGAGGAAAAGCCCUGUGGCUCUGGGGACUUGGGAUCCAGAGUUGAAGACCCUUCAGCUGGCUCUGCCCUGCCAGUGCCACAGAGUGCCAUGGCCCAGGAAGACAGGUUUUCUUCCAUCUAGGCCAGGCCAUCCAGUGGCCAUCCUCCGUGUCCUCCCGCCUCCUCCUGGUGUGACUUCUGAAAACCAAGAAUUUGUUCCUGUUGACUUUUUCUGUGCUAUGGACCAUUGUCCUCUCACCCACUCAAUAAAUCUUGAAACAUGC
RNAcentral lists this long non-coding RNA (901 nucleotides) under Homo sapiens (human). Its description in RNAcentral is "HSALNT0400971". The record is from RNAcentral. Lineage: Eukaryota; Metazoa; Chordata; Mammalia; Primates; Hominidae.